AUGGCGGCGUGCACAGUGCCGUACGCACAGGGGCAGGGCCAUGAACUGCAGCAAGAUUUCGACUACUUCUUGGUAGUGGACUUCGAGGCGACGUGCCAGAAAGACGCGCGGAUCUACCCGCAGGAGAUCAUCGAGUUCCCCGCGGUCCUCGUCGACGCCGCCACCGGCCGCCUCGAGUCCGCGUUUCGCCGCUACAUCCGCCCGAAGCACCACCCUGUGCUGACCCAGUUCUGCAGGGACCUCACCGGCAUCCAGCAGGAGGACGUCGACGGCGGCGUGGAUCUCGGCCAGGCGCUCCGGCUGCACGACGCCUGGCUGAGGGCGGCGACGACGGGGGCAGGGACCAAGCGAUCCGGCGGCCGCUUGGCGGGCAUCGAGAAGCCCUCCUACUUCGAUCGCUGGAUCAACCUGAGGGUCCCCUUCCAGGCGGCGCUCGGCGGCGGAGGGCGGGUCAACCUGCAGGAGGCGGUCCGGGCGGCGGGACUGGACUGGGAGGGCCGCCUGCACUGCGGGCUGGACGACGCGCGCAACACGGCGCGGCUUCUUGUCGAGCUCAUGCUGCGCGGGGUCAAGAUGAGCAUUACUGGCUCGCUGGCGCUGCCACGGCCGAUCCAGCAGCAGCCGCCUCACAUAAGCCCUUUCGGUGGCUCCUCAGCGCUGGCGCCGCCGCCCAUCCGGCAGCAGCAGCCGCCGCAGCCUCACGUAAGCACCUGCGGUGGCUCGUCUGUGGCGUGCUUCUGCUACUGCGCACUGCGGCCAGCGGGUGGCGGCCAGAGGAGGUGUGGUGUCGGUGCCAGGACCGAUGCAGGGGAAGUGCUUCUUUGCGUGCGUCAAUGGGAGCCGUGUGCUGUUAGUGUGUAG
RNAcentral lists this ribosomal RNA (861 nucleotides) under Triticum aestivum (bread wheat). Its description in RNAcentral is "partial small subunit ribosomal RNA". The record is from RNAcentral. Lineage: Eukaryota; Viridiplantae; Streptophyta; Magnoliopsida; Poales; Poaceae.